AGAAGGAAAAUUCAUCAGGUGAGAUAUCUUUGUGUUUUGUUUUUGGUGCUCUGAUGUUUCGUUUCUCACACUUCUUUUCUUUUCUUGAACAGAAACCAUUGUCCAGAUAAAUCCUGAAAACAUGAAGGCUGUGAUUGUUGCUUGUGUUGUUUUGUUGGCUGUCAGCCAGAGUGAAGCAUUGAAUUGUUACUGUGGAGGUCUGCAGAACUGUGGAGGCACCCAGGAUCACUGCACUGGUAGAAGCUGGGUUUGUGCCAAAGUGAUCAAUAUUGUUGGAUCCAAUCCUAACUUCUUGCAGGGCUGCAUGACAUCAACUGACUGCAUGAUGUUGAAUCGUCCGGGUUUAUCCUCUUCCACUUGCUGCAGCACUCAUUUGUGCAACAGAUAAACUAUUAUCAGCAUCUCGACCCACAUGAGAAAUAACCUCUGAGAAAUAAUAAGCAGCUGUCUUGUAGUGUGUGUUCUGGUAUACACAUAAUAAAGAGAAUGUGUUUCUAA
Long non-coding RNA from Eleginops maclovinus (Patagonian blennie), 498 nucleotides. RefSeq lists it as uncharacterized. Lineage: Eukaryota; Metazoa; Chordata; Actinopteri; Perciformes; Eleginopidae. The record is from RefSeq and is a predicted model, not a curated record. The transcript is spliced from 3 exons.